This is a non-coding RNA of Camellia sinensis, 1232 nucleotides long. NCBI's taxonomy places the organism in Eukaryota, Viridiplantae, Streptophyta, Magnoliopsida, Ericales, Theaceae. The record is from RefSeq and is a predicted model, not a curated record.
AAUUAAUUAUCAUUAAUUGUUUACUAACAUAAAAUAUAUAUUAUAUUUAUUAUUAUGUAAAAUUUCUAAAACCGUAAAAUCGCACCGAACCAAACUGGUUUCUAUGGUUCGGUUCUAGUCUUGUUUCACAAUUUAAUGGUUCGGCUAUGGUUUUAAUUUUUCUGGAACCAGUUCCUAUGAUUUGGUUCCUGGUUUUCUCUAAAAUCGAACCAAUUUAAUUCGUGUACACCCUAACUCUUAAUGAAGCUUGAACAUGAUAAAGCUUUUUAAUAUAUUGAAGGUUCUUCAAAUUAGGGUAGAUUACAUUGAUAGUCUCUCUAUUUGGUUCUUUGGGCUUGUUUGGUAGAGUUUUUUUACAGCUUAUUUCAGCUUUUAGCUUAAUUUAAGUUGUUUUAUUGUGUUUGGUGUAGCUUACUAAUAUAGAUUAUAGCUUUUUGUAAGUGAAAAAUCAGCUUUUUGUUGAAGUGGCUAUAGGGGUGCUUAAUUAUUCAGCUUAAGCGGCAAGCUGGGAAGGGAGGGGUGAAAUUACUUAAAUGCCCCUUAUCAACUUCAAUUAUUACCAAAAAACCAAGAUAUAAACCUACAACCAAACACUGUGCACUUCUUCAGAGAGACAGAAAGCUUGAGAGGCGAUUUCAGGCGGUGAUUUUCGGUGGCAUGAACCAGCUCUCUGGUGGCGUGAACCAGCUCUCUCCGGUGGCGUGAACUUCUUCUCUCUCUCUCUCUCUCUCUCUCUCUCUCUCCGGCGUCUCAAUCUCUCACAUCGCGGGCCACUGAGAUGUUUACAGUUUCUUCUCUAUUUCUCAGUGACAUAUCCUAGGUGCCGGAUGCAUCUAGCGGGCAUCGAGAAUUCAGGAUUCUGUGGGUAUUGAAGAGGAGUUGUUGCAUGAUUCACGAGCCGUUGAACAGGUGCCGUAGCGGUGUCGGACACCCGGACACACCGGUGACACGUAUUGGGUUAGAACACGUCGGGGACAUGGCAAGAGAAGAAGGCCUAACAUGUUCAGUUGAUCGGUUGCAAUCUCUAUCUCCAUCGUUGUUCCAGUUGCUACCUCCAUCUGUUAUUCCAGUCGCGAUCUUGAGGCUCCUGUUCUAGUCACGAUCUCCAUCAAGGCUCCUAUUCCAAUUGAUCUCCAUCUCAUCUCGAUCUGGUAUGUCUUUGUCUCGUCUCUCUCUUCUCUUCGGUCUGUAUCGCCUCUCGUCUCUAUGUGUUUCGUCUUCCUCUCUCUGCC